This 697-nucleotide ribosomal RNA is filed under the name Sporothrix candida. RNAcentral's name for it is "eukaryotic LSU rRNA". It matches the Rfam family "Eukaryotic large subunit ribosomal RNA", at positions 148 to 873 of the family's 3401-position model. The record is from RNAcentral. Lineage: Eukaryota; Fungi; Ascomycota; Sordariomycetes; Ophiostomatales; Ophiostomataceae.
AUUUGGAGAGGAUGCUUUUGGCGCGGCGCCGUCCGAGUUCCUUGGAACAGGACGCCACAGAGGGUGAGAGCCCCGUACGGACGGACGCCUAGCCUCUACAAAGCUCCUUCGACGAGUCGAGUAGUUUGGGAAUGCUGCUCAAAAUGGGAGGUAAAUUUCUUCUAAAGCUAAAUACCGGCCAGAGACCGAUAGCGCACAAGUAGAGUGAUCGAAAGAUGAAAAGCACUUUGAAAAGAGGGUUAAACAGUACGUGAAAUUGUUGAAAGGGAAGCGCCUGUGACCAGACUUGCGCCCCGCGGACCACCCGGCGUUCUCGCCGGUGCACUCCGCGGGGUGCAGGCCAGCAUCGGUUCUCCCAGGGGGACAAAGGCUGCGGGAACGUAGCUCCUUCGGGAGUGUUAUAGCCCGCGGCGGCAUGCCCCUGGGGGGACCGAGGACCGCGCUUCGGCAAGGAUGCUGGCGUAAUGGUCACCAGCGACCCGUCUUGAAACACGGACCAAGGAGUCAAGCAUUGGGGCGAGUGUAUGGGUGCCAAACCCGCACGCGAAAUGAAAGUAAACGCAGGUGAGAGCUUCGGCGCAUCAUCGACCGAUCCUGAUGUCUUCGGAUGGAUUUGAGUAAGAGCCUUACCGCUUGGACCCGAAAGAUGGUGAACUAUGCCUGAAUAGGGUGAAGCCAGAGGAAACUCUGGUGGAGG